AGCAGCCGCGGUAAUUCCAGCUCCAAUAGCGUAUAUUAAAGUUGUUGCAGUUAAAAAGCUCGUAGUUGAAUUUCGGGAUCAGUACGCUGGUCGUGCCUCCGGUAUGAACUGGUGUCACUGGUUCCUCCCUUCUGAAGAACCAUCAUGCCAUUCACUUGGUGUGGUGGGGAAUCAGGACUGUUACUUUGAAAAAAUUAGAGUGUUUAAAGCAGGCUCACGCUUGAAUACAUUAGCAUGGAAUAAUGAAAUAGGACGUUGAUCCUAUUUUGUUGGUUUCUAGGAUUGACGUAAUGAUUAAUAGGGAUAGUUGGGGGCAUUAGUAUUCAAUUGUCAGAGGUGAAAUUCUUGGAUUUAUUGAAGACUAACUACUGCGAAGGCAUUUGCCAAGGAUGUUUUCAUUAAUCAAGAACGAAAGUUAGGGGAUCGAAGACGAUCAGAUACCGUCGUAGU
Molecule: ribosomal RNA, 450 nt
Filed under: uncultured Glomeromycotina
Lineage: Eukaryota; Fungi; Glomeromycota
Description: SSU rRNA
Rfam family: Eukaryotic small subunit ribosomal RNA
Source: RNAcentral